Molecule: non-coding RNA, 289 nt
Filed under: Blumeria hordei DH14
Lineage: Eukaryota; Fungi; Ascomycota; Leotiomycetes; Helotiales; Erysiphaceae
Description: Blumeria graminis f. sp. hordei DH14 Eukaryotic large subunit ribosomal RNA
Rfam family: Eukaryotic large subunit ribosomal RNA
Source: Rfam by way of RNAcentral
UGACCUCGAAUCAGGUAGGGAUACCCGCUGAACUUAAGCAUAUCAAUAAGCGGAGGAAAAGAAACCAACAGGGAUUACCUCAGUAACGGCGAGUGAAGCGGUAACAGCUCAAAUUUGAAAUCUGGUCCGGUUACGGGCCCGAGUUGUAAUUUGUAGAAGAUGCUUUGGUAAUGAGUCCGGCCUAAGUUCCUUGGAACAGGACGUCAUAGAGGGUGAGAACCCCGUAUGCGGCCGAGUACUCAGUGCCAUGUAAAGCUCUUUCGACGAGUCGAGUUGUUUGGGAAUGCAG